RNAcentral lists this ribosomal RNA (279 nucleotides) under uncultured bacterium. Its description in RNAcentral is "partial 16S ribosomal RNA". It matches the Rfam family "Bacterial small subunit ribosomal RNA", at positions 506 to 784 of the family's 1533-position model. The record is from RNAcentral.
UGCCAGCAGCCGCGGUAAUACGAAGGGUGCUAGCGUUGUUCGGAAUAACUGGGCGUAAAGCGGACGCAGGCGGCUAAGUCAGUCUGAAGUGAAAUCCCGGGGCUCAACCCCGGAACUGCCUCCAAAACUAUCAGUCUAGAGUUCGAGAGAGGUGAGUGGAACUCCGAGUGUAGAGGUGAAAUUCGUAGAUAUUCGGAAGAACACCAGUGGCGAAGGCGGCUAACUGGACUGAUACUGACGCUGAGGUGCGAAAGUGUGGGGAGCAAACAGGAUUAGAUA